RNAcentral lists this long non-coding RNA (4026 nucleotides) under Glycine max (soybean). Its description in RNAcentral is "long non-coding RNA (GMAX_LNC000804)". Lineage: Eukaryota; Viridiplantae; Streptophyta; Magnoliopsida; Fabales; Fabaceae. The record is from RNAcentral.
UUAUUUAUUCUGAGGCCACUUGAUCCAACAAAAGUUACCUAACUAUGCACACAAAUGGAUGAUCAGACCAAAAACAUACAAACAUUAAGCAUUGAAGGAAGCAUUGAACACAGAAAACAUAAUCAAUUAGAUAUUAGGUAUUUACAUCAGUUGUUCAUUAGAAAUCCCUAUCUAGGGUGUUUAGCCAGCUAUUACAGAAGAAACCCUAACAAUAAUAAGCUUACAAAACCUAGGUAUCUCUGCAAAAGUUGCUCCUUUUGCUGCCUCCAGAGCUCUUUUCCUGAAGUAGGCAUUGUGGUGUGCUCUGGAAUUUGUGCCAAUCAUCUGCUUAAAGUUUGUACCCUAAUUUUACACAAGACAGGCUUUAAAUAGGCUCUGAAUUCGAGACAUUGCGCUUAGCGCCACCCUUGCGCUUAGUGCGAGUAAGUGGAUUCGGGCUUAACGCCAGUCGUGCGCUGAGCUUGGCUGAAGACACCUACUGCGCUUAACGCACUGAUCUCGCGCUUAGCGCACGGCCUUGAUGCUGAUGCCUUGCCAGAUUCUUCUAUCGCGCUAAGCGCGCUGAAGCUGCACUUAGCGGUGGAUGCGUGCUUAGCCCACUGAUGAGCUAAGCUUAACUAUCACUUUUGGCACUUCAUUACUUAGCCUCUUUUUUUACCUGAAAUUGCACAUAUUUCAUCAUUAAAUCCAAUGGACAUAUUCUAGAGACAGCUUUAUCCAUAAAACAAAAUUUAUUUACAAAAAUUCUAAAAAAUAACCAUAAAUUGGGGAACUAUGCAAGUUUUGGAAAAUGAUUUCUAUACAAAAGUUAGUCGUAUAAAGUGACUAAUAGUAGGCUAAGAAGUUUUUCAACCAUUCAACGCCACUACUAGCCAACUCUAGAGCUAUGAACUCUGAUUCCAUGGUUGAUCUUGCAAUUAUGGAUUGUUUGGUUGAUCUCCAUGCAACCGCACCACCACCAAGUGUGAAAACAUAACCAAUAAUGGACUUUGUCUCAUCUAAAUCAGAGAUCCAGUUAGCAUCAUUGUACCUUUCUAGUAUAAUGAGAAAUCCACUAUAAUCAAUACCAUAUUCUAUGGCACCUCUCAAGUAUCUAAUAAGUCUUACAAGAGCUUCCCAAUGGUCUUUAUUAGGAUUAUGAGUAUAUAUACUUAGUUUGCCUACUGCGUAUGCAAUGUCUGGUCUUGAAAAGUUCAUUAGAUGUAGUAGACUCCCAAUAAUUUAGGCAUACUAAGUUUGGUCAAUAGAGUUUCCUCUAUUUUUCUUCAACGGUGAGUUAGCAUCAUAAGGAGUACUCACUAGGUUAAGGUCAUAGUAACCAAACCUCUUAAGAAAUUUCUCAACAUAAUGUCCUUGGGAUAGUAGGAUACUAUCGGCCUUUCUUACAAUUCUAACUCCUAAGAUAAAACUUGCUUCUCCAAUGUCUUUCAUGUCAAACUUAGAAGUAAGAAAAGCUUUGGUCCUAAGGACUAUAUCAAUACAAGUACUAAAGAUCAACAUAUCAUCCACAUACAAACAAAAAAUCACAUAAUCACUAUUUUUAAAUCUUGUGUAAACACAAUUAUCAUCUUCAAUAUAUGAAAAACCAUCAUCAAGCAAAGCAUGGUUGAAUUUAUCAUGCCACUAUUUAGGUGCUUGUUUAAGUCCAUAUAGGGAUUUUAAGAGUUUGCACACUUUGUUUUCUUGACCAAGUAUAACACGCCUUUCAGGUUGAGUCAUAUAGAUCUCUUCCUCUAGAUCACCAUUGAAAAAAGCAGUCUUUACAUUCAUCAGGUGAAUCACCAACUUAUGUAUGGAAGCUAAAGCUAUCAACACUCAAAUAGAGGAAAUCCUAGUCAUAGGGGCAAAGGUGUCAAAGAAAUCCAACCUUUUAGCUACCAAUCUGGCUUUAUACUUGUCAAUAGAUCCAUCAAGGUUGUACUUCUUCUUAAAGAUCCAUGUACACCCUAUUGGUUUCGCUCCUUGGGGUAGGUCUACUAAGGUCCAUGUGUCAUUCUUCUUAAUAGAGUCAAUUUUUAUCUUAAUCACUUGUUCCUAAGAGAGUGCAUCAAAAGAACUAAUGGCUUCAAUGAAACUUAUAAGGUCAUCCUCAACAAGGUAGGUAUAAAAAUCAUCUCCAAUGGAUGCUUCUUUCCUUUGUCUUUUACUUCUUCUUAGGUCCUAGCCAUGAACUCACUAUGGUUUUCAAAGGAUUGUUCUAGGUUGAUCCUCAAACUAUCACUGUUGGUUCCUGUAGGUUGCCUAGAUUUCAAAGGAAACACAUCUUCAAAAAAUUCAACAUUCUUUGUCUCUACCAUUGUGUUGACAUCAAGCACAUCACUUUUUAACACUGGGAACCUAUAGACAACACUAUGAUUUGCAUAAUCGAUAAGCAAGAAAUCAGAAAGUCUUAGAGCAUAUUUUCCUUUUCUUAGGGUUGAUCAGCAUAACUUUGGCUAGGCACCCCUACACUCUUAGAUGUUUUAGGUUGGGUAGAUAGCAUUUCCAUAACUCAUAAGGUGUUUUGCCAAUUUUCCUGUAGGGGAUCCUAAUUUUGUAAGAAACAGGCGAUUAACACGGCUUCUCCCCAAAGGUUGCUAGAUGCAAAGGAACUAACUAGCAUGCCAUUCAUCAUUUCCUUAGGGGUGCUAUUUUUCCUCUCAGGUACUCCAUUUGACUUGGGUGAAUAAGGUGGGGUUACUCCAUGUAUGAUGCAUUCCUUCUCACAAAAGUCAGUGAAAGUCUACAUGACAUGAGGCCAAUGCCUAAAUUUCAAGUAUAGAAUUAUCUACACCUCUCAUUAUGACCUCAAAAGUUAAUUUGGUCACCUAAAUAAAAUGCAAUAGCAUACAUAACAUGCUACAUAAAUCUACAUAUAAGAAUGAUUAAUACAAGUUUAUCAUGACAUAUCAUCAAAGGUAUUAUUAAAUGAAGAACCUAUGCUUGCUUUCCAACUGCAUUAGAGAGACCUCUCAAACCAAAUCAUUAGAUGUAUAUGACUACAUCAAAAGGCUUCAACUAAAAAGUUGUUGAGGUAAAUUCCAACAAGGUCUUGGUCCCCUUAAGCAAGUUCCAUUAGAAAGACUUCUUGGACCAAAUCAUUAGAUUAGAUGACUAUCAACAAGUCGUUGGUCCGAGUAGUACUAAACUCAGUCACCCUAAUUAAGCAUUCCGUAAUUGAAUAAGAAUAAGAACAAAUCUAUCAUUCCGUAAUUAUUCCUAUACAACUAUGGAUUAAGCAAUUCAUAAUAUUCAUUUGGUUAUGGAUUGUUUAAUCCAUAACUUUGUGAGAGAAAAAUACUUACCAGAUGAUGACUUUAAAUAGCAACCUCACUGUCUGUGGAGGAAGGACAAUAGAAGAACCUCAAUAACACAUUCUACAGUUCAAACAAAAGCUUUGCGAAAGCAAAAACAUCAACCAUAAAGGUAGAGUGACAAAAGGAGAAUGAGAAUGAGGAGGAAUCAUGAGACCUUAAUGGGAGAGGGGGAUCACAGUGAAGAAUAAUGGAUGGCGGGGGGGGGGGGGGGAAGGAACUGUCAAUUUGGGAGAAAGAAGGUGACAUAGUUUGAAGUUAUAAUAAACAAGGGUAUUGUGGGAUUAAAAAUUAUGGGGUGCACCUAGUAAAAAUAUGGGAUGAAUUAAGUAAUUGUCCGGUUGUGUCCACUCAAAGACCCAAACAAUUGCAAGCUGACUAAAAAAGAUAGGAGGAAAAAAUAGGAAUAAAUUAAAAAUAGGUAGAGAAGGAGCCCAAAAGAUUAAAUUAAAAACAAGAGAACAUAAAUAGGCAAGACUACUUACGAAAUGCCCACCAUUGAUUAUGGAUGUGAUGUUCUUGUCAAGAUCGCAAGAAUUGUGCUAACUCUUGUGCAUACACAUCAAUUUACCAAUAUGAAAAGCAUGACAUGUGUGAAGUAUGUAAUUGUUAAAUUAUUCGCAACAAUAGGCAUUCUGCAUCAAAACGGUGACGGUGCAAUAGUAAUUAAAGCAGCACCACGGACCCUAUAAUUUGAUAGAUGAAAUACACAUUAGAACGAUGUAUGUGAUCA